Long non-coding RNA from Felis catus (domestic cat), 7591 nucleotides. RefSeq lists it as uncharacterized. The transcript is spliced from 2 exons. Lineage: Eukaryota; Metazoa; Chordata; Mammalia; Carnivora; Felidae. The record is from RefSeq and is a predicted model, not a curated record.
UUGCCUUUUAGUUUUGUUAAUUGUUUCCUUCCCUGUGCAAAAGCUUUUUAUCUUGAUGUAGUUCCAGUAAGUUUUUAUUUUGUUUCCUUAAAAAUCUAACUUUUAAUUCAUUUUUCUGGUAUUUGGUUAAGGAUAUUUAUAUCCACAAUUAAAAGUUGGAUGGUCUACAAUUUCUAUUUCUGUGCUUUGUCAAACUUUCAUAUGGGAAUUAUACAAAAUACGUACAUACAAAAUUAAUUAGAAAUCUCUUUUUCCCCUCCAAUGUCUAGAUAAGAUAACAUAGUUUGAGAAUUAUCUAUCCCCUUAAUCAUUUGAAAGAACUUUCCCAUUAAACCACUAUUGUCCAGAGAACUUUUUGUGGAUAAUUAUUGCAAGUCAGGCAUAUCCAACUGUUUUUUACUAUUUUUAUGGUCUGUUUUUUCUGCUGACCCUUACUCAUGUUUUUUGUUUGUUUUGUUUUGUAUGUGUCUUAUAGUUUUUUAUAAUCUCAAUUUUUUGGAAAUCAAGCAAUGGGACUUCUUCAUGGCCUGGCUUGAAAAUGGAACUGGCUUGACUUGAAAAUGCAACUCUGGAGAAGGACUUGUACUUGCCUUUGCCAAACACCAUGGCCACUAACAACCCAGAAUCACUUUAAAUUAAAUUAUUUGCUAAGUCAUUUUAGAUCACACCAUUUUGUGAAUUUGGCCCUCACACUAGCAUGAGGGUAAGCUCACGUUUAUAAACCUUUAAGGGUGGUUUUAAUUUUACUUUCAUAUAGCACCGAGCUUUAGAGAGGUCAAGUCUCCUUGAGCCUUUCUGCAUAUCACAUUUACUAUUCACUCACCGUUAUUCUAGAGUCUCCUGUAUGACUUUCUGCUUUGGAUAGAAAGUCACCAAAACAGAAGCUCAAAUUCCACCAGAAUUUAAUACAGAUACUUACAGCAAAAAUGACAAUAGUGCGCUUGAUGUAAAUUAUACCAAACCUUGCCAGGGAAUCUCUCUCUCUUUUUUUUUAAUUUUGUUUACAAAGCUGACACCAGCUUUUGUAUUAUUGUGAGUCUUUAUGAGUAUUUUAAUGAGAAGGUGGUAGAAAGCACAUUUGUCACAGCACAUCUGCAGAAAUGUAGAUUUACUCUUCAGAUAUUUAUUUCCGAAUAUCCAAUUCAUGUCAUGGCUCAGUUUGGGUUUUGUUUUCAUCUCCAACAAUGAUGAACUCAGCCAGAGUAUUAAUCUGUUCCUGGGGUCCCCAAAGAUCACACACAUAUUUAAUGAUUUGCCAGGAAGACUCAGAGGACUCAGGCAUAUAGUUGUGUUAGGUUAAAGCUAGAUAUGAGCAGUGGAAGAAAGGCACAGAGGCAGAGUCCCAAGCCUUGAAGGGUAAUGAUAGAGACACAAGUGGGAGGGAAAAACAGUAAUUAAUAAGCUACAUAUUAUAAGCCUGGGGGUUCAACAUUCUAACCUUAUGGCUUCCAAGACCUUGGGCCUGACAGACCAAAAGCCACAGGUGCAGAACAUGCACUCUCUUCUUCCACCUCUGCCCCCAAGGUAACCCCUAAACUUACUAUAAUUAAUUUGCAUCACACCCCCCAUUGAGAAAGGCUGCCAUCAAAAACUUCCCCUUACAACCUGUGGGAGGAGUCCUCCAAAUGAUUGGAAGCAGCCUCUAUUAGAGACCACCCCACAGUUCCUCCCAGCUCCUACCAGCCCAGAGAUAACCCAAUCAUAUCCAAUUCCAAAACAACCUAGGCGCUCCGGGAACCUGCCUGCUCCCCCACCUUGAGAGUGUACUUUCGCUUCAAUGAACUUUGUGCUUGCCACUUUCCUUCUGGCUGUCUUUAUCCCCAGCGUGGAUCCCCACAUAAAUUUCAUGGGGAAUGCCAGGACCAAAACCUCCAUUCACUCAACGCAGACGCUUUCUCAUGCCUGACAGUUGUACUAAUGGCUAAUAUUUAUUAUGAAGACAUAAUAAAGAUCACAGAUCAGAAAGAGAAAAAGACAUAAUGUAAAGACAGAAGAAAUCAAUGGAAAUCCCUAUAUCUUCUCCCCACUACCUUGUGUGAGAGGUCACACACAGCACAUUCUCUUUUUAGGGAAAAAAAGGCAUCAAGAACAUGUCUAAGUCAUGCCCAUUUUAAACUCAGAGUUUAGAGGUUUCAGUGUCUACUUACCACAUAGUCAUUCUCUGCCUAACAAAUAUGGAAAUAUCAGACUCACAGAAGGAAAGCAGAUUUCACACUAAAUUACACUGUUUGCACGAACAGCCUAGGCCCAGAAAAAUUACCAUAUCAGUUAGGGAAUGUUUCAGAAGCCAAGUUCUCAGAACCUAGCCAACGGUCAAGCUUGCAAACAAGUCCUCUGAAGACAGUAGCCUCAGGUCUGCUAUUUUAACUCUUUUUGUACAUAACACAUACAAAAAAUCUUUUGACAGUCUAAUCUUUUGAUUUGGAUUUAUUUUUGUUGAUGCUACCAACAAAGAUUUAAUGGGAAUCAGUUAUGAUUGGUGAUUAUAAAAACUGAUCUCUGACAAAAAUAUAUAUGUUAAAAUAAGCCUACUUUGAUUUAGCUAACAGAACCAAAUUGUAUGAAUUAUUUAUCUACUCCAAUACUUGCUAUUUUCAUUUCUGCAGUAAAAUACUAAGAAAUCUGACUUGCUGUUUCCAAGGUCUAUAUUCUAUGUAAUAUUAUUUUGACUUAACAUUUAACUUGAUUAACAUUUUUAAUCAAGUUACUGCAUUAGGCAACCAAUAUGUUUUAAAUGAAACAAUAUUAUUAUUGGUUACCUAAAGAAAAGAAUUUAUCAUGGAUGGAUUUGAAAAGGAAAAUAAAGUCGGUGAUCCAUCAUAGAAUCCAUUUUGUAAAAGUUCCAAACUCUUAUAUUCACAAGUGUAAAUAUAGGCUAAUAACUGCUCUUUAUUCACCAAAUUUUUUUUCUCAGAGUUUUAACAGAGCUCUGGAAACUACUUGUCUGGGAGAUCAACAAUGGGUCUCACAUGACUUUUGGAUGUAUUGUGAUAUAAUAGAAAUGGCAUAAACACUCUACAAGUCUAGUGACAUUUCAAAUUUCCUCAUAAAAACAGGGAACAAACAGAGAUAAUCACAAUCUAUUUUACUCAUACAAUUGAUUUUAUCAUAAUUAAAUCUGUUGUAAAAUUAAAAGAAGAAGCUUCCGUUUUUAGUGCAAAGAGAGCCAAGGUCAUCUGAGGUGACGCUCUUCUGCAGACGAUCAGGAAGCAAACCCGUUUUAGCCUUCCUCUCACACACGCUAUGUUUUGGCUGUGUGAUCAUUCAUGAAAGGGGAAGACAAGUACAGAAUUUUAGAGUCAAAUAAGAUUUUCUCUUUGAAUUGUGAAAUUAUAAUUGGCCUAUCACUAGCAGCUGCCUUUUAGAAUUUGUAUUUUCCAAAUGUUAAUAGGCCCCAAGUAAGCAAUAAGUGUGAACGUUAAAUGGAAAUCUUUUGUUUUGUUUUGUUUUAUCAGGGCACACAUAGAAUUUUUGCUUUUACAGUAUAUUCUUGUUACUCUCCAAACUAAUAUAUGGUAAGCAUUCUUUUGCUAACUAGACUUUAAACCAGGUUGGGAUUAUUUCAAAUAUUGAAAGGCAGUUCUUAUAAAACAAAGAGUUUUCAACAAAACUAUGACAUUAUUUAAAACAUGUAUUUCCUGUGUGGGUUUGUUUUAUCUAAGGUUUAUUUCUCUCUCCCUCCCUCCCUCAGUGUGUGUGUUUGUGUGUGUGUGUGUGUGUGUGUGUGUGUCUGUAUUUGCAUCAAAACCUCUCAAAAACAUGGACAGAAAGAAUGCUACUAUGUUUAUUUAUUUUUUUAAUGUAUGAUUAUCCUCUCAACUGGAACCCAGGUGUAAUUAUUUUUCCUAAGCCUUUCUAUGGUAUUGGCCUAACUACCAUCAUAAAAUAUUACUUCAGCCAUAACAAGGCUGUCCAGAAAAUCCCUAUUUGUUACAAUAAAAACAUUCAUUUGUAAAACACAAAAAUAAAAUCAAUUUUGUUUCAAGUAUAUGUUUACUUAAACAUUAAACAAAGAAAACUUUAUAAGGGAUGUUCCACAUGCUUAAAAGGAUCAUGACAUUACAUUUAUGAACAGAAUGAAAGCAUAAUGCAGAAAUUAGGUUAGGUUUCCUUUUUGAAUUAACAUCCUAAUUUCUGCCUUGGGUGGCUAACUAACUUUGGCACCAUGAACACUUUCCUCACUUUUUGAAAUUUUUAACUGUAUUUAAAACAGAUCACAUCCACUCCUCUGCCUCAACAUGCUAACUAGUCAAUGGAAAUCGAAACACAACUGAAAUAGACACUUUAUACUGCUGUCAAGGGGAGAAAGUUCAGGGCAAAGGUGUAAUUAAAAGUAUGACUAAGCAGAUGGAGUCACAUUGAAGAAACUUCCCACAAAAAAAGAGGGGAAUAAAAUGGAAAAAAGGGAGCAAGUGUCCCCCAAAUAUAAUAUUGCCAUCUUUGACUGAAUCAUUUGAGCUCUAGAAUCUCAGCUUUCUGGUAUAGGACCCAGUUGCUAUAGAAACUUACAACUGGGAGCUAAAUAAAGUAAUUUCUAUGCUAGUGUUGGUGUCUAUAACUUCAGCACCUGAUGCUAACCAAAUUGUGCUCAAUAAACAAAUUUAAACUUUAAAAGCCUGCAAUGCGAUCACAAUGCUUUCUAUACAACUGAUUAAUCUCAAUUGAUCUUGGCUCAGAGCAAAAGAACAUAAGAAAUCUCAAAAACAGAAAAAGACUACUUAAGGCCAAUAUGCCUGCAUCCUUUGUUUUUCUUAUCUGAUUUCCUACCUUAUCCCCAUACCUCUUCCCUGACUUAGUUUUAAAAUAAAAAGUCAGCAAGCUCACUCUUCAACUCAUCGAUAAUCCUGCUCUCACUGAUCCUUUUAGACAAUUUAUUCUAUAUUAAACCACUCCCUCUUGGCCUCCCCCUUUUCAUUUAUCCUACUCUAAACCUAAAGAACAAAGAGAUCAGGCAGCCCAAUAGAUACUUAGUUCUUAAUCCUCCCGACUAGGCCUGUUAUUGCUGCACAUUUGAUUAUAAGAUUAUUCACUAUUUGGCAAGAAACCAAAAACCCAAAGUGGCCUCUUAAUGCCUCUGUUUGUGUGGGCAUGUCAGACCCUUACCCAUUAUGUCACAAAGCAGUAUGUUAGGCUCUGGUAAUGUUCUGCUAGUAAGAGGGAUGAGACCAUAAGGCCUAAAUAUAUCCGUUUGCAUCCUUCUCCAGCAUCACUUUGGAAAGGAACAAUGUUGGCAUAUACUGUAUGAACCCUUUGUUUUUCUCCAGGAGACCCACACAUUCCAGUUCAAUGUUACUGUGAAGAUUUAAAGUAUGAAAAAAUCAUCUGAAAGUAUUACUUCAUUAAACCAUGUGAAUGUUUUGCUACAAGUACCAAAUGCAUAUAUUUGCAAAUUUGUUUACCUUCAUCAGAGAUUUAUAGCGAUAAGUAUUUGAGAGUGCGCUUUUAUGUGCUAAAAAAAUGUGUUUGUUUCACAUUUUAUAAGGAUCUUGGCUUCAGUUCUAAUAUACACUUCGGAGACUUACACAAGUCGAUAUAGGAUCUGGGAUCUCAAAGCUAAGAUCAUCCCAGGGCAGAGUAUUUGAUACAAAUAGGAAAGGUGCACUGCCAUAGGAAAAAAAAAAUAGGUCAGAUGGCACAUUUUUCCAGAACUAAUUAUUUAUAUUUCUCCCUAUCAGCAUUAUUGCAUGCAGAAGAAAUGAAUAAAUAAGAGAAAGAAAGAAAGAAAGAAAGAAAGAAAGAAAGAAAGAAAGAGAGCAAAAUUUAUCCAACUUACAUAAAAUGGAAUCUUUUUUAAAUCUUUACUUUGAAAUGAAGAUACAGUUUUUAGGAGGUAAUAUUUUCUUCUAAUUAUCAAGAUACUCACAAACACCAGGGGAGAAUUUGAAACACCAAAAUAGGAAUUGAUAAUAUGAGCUCACCAUGCAUUCAUAAACCUCUCCCCCUGGGUUCCUCUGGAUUCUGCUACCUUGGCUUUUGUCCAAUGAGCUUUUAAAAGCAAAGGGGAAAUGCUGGAGGGUUAAACCUAAGGAUUGACCUGCUACUACCACUCCGUGUUUGACCAAAACUCUCAUUAGGAAACAACAUGGAAUAGUUUUUAGCUGCAAAAAGGCACCCAGGAGAAUGACAGAAAUGUAUUAGGUUAACUGUCGGUGUUGCCUGUAUACCAAAACAAAAACAUCCUGGGAGAGAUAUGAGCUAUGUCAGAAACAUAGGCAGCUAACAAUUGUCAGUUGGGAUUGUUGAAUAGCAUUUAAAUGCACUGAGCAGCAUUUGGGAGCAGGUGACUUCCAAGAAGGAUGGGGAAAUGAAAUUUUGUUAGCUUUGAGAAUAGAAAAAGAAUGGAACUUGGUACUUCUUUUUUUGUAAUGUUUCAGAGAUUUCAUUUCAUUUUUUCUUGCAUGUAAAACCUCGACUCUCACAAAUUUGCAGAGAUAUAAAUAAUGGGCUCUAUCUUCACACAGUGCAGAACAUUUAAUAGGCAAUUUAUGAAUAUUUGUUUUACACAAAAAGGAAAGGAAGAAGAAAGCAAAUGAGGGAAGAAGUAAGGAGGGAGAAUCAAGCCUGAAUUAACUGUUGCUGAGUAAAAGAACUGGGAGCAGAAGUGAGUUCGAUGAGGCUGAGUAUAGGCAUCAGAAUGCUUGCAUGUUAGCCUCAAGCUGUAAGUGGCAGCUGGCUGCAUGGCCUUGGCCAGGUGGUCAGUCAGCACUCGCUAGUAGAAUUUGGCAUUCAAGUUAAGCAGCUGCAAAACGGAAAAGGCCCAGCAGCUUUGUAGAAACAGAGAUACGGGCCAUUUUAUGGUUCCAGGCUUCCAGCCAAUCAUGAUAGGAGAAGGCCGAUGACACCUGUCAGUGCCCACAAUGGAAAGAGCAGAGCUGCUCUACAAUACAGUGCACCAAGCAGGAAAGAGGACAGUCCGGAAAGACCACACUCUCCCCACCCUCAGUUAAAAAGGGGAAUCAUCUGAAUGCAAACAACAAGAGAUGAGCUUGAGACUGGUGGUACACUAGAGAAGAGGACUUGAGAAGCUCUGACUCAGCUCUCUUAGAGGUGAGAAUCCCUGAUGACAGCUGGUAUCUCAAGAGCUCAAAGGAGAUGCCCUGCCAACCUGGAAGAGGGUCCUACCAGACUGCUACUAGUUUCUCAAAGAAAUGCCAUGAAGUUGGUUCUAAGAACAUGGAAGAAACCCAGAAGCUAAACCAACAGCUACUACUGAGGUGAGAAGCUAUGGCUGAGAUGAGAUUGACAGGAGCAGUAGACACCUGGAAGAAGCAAAUACCUCCUCCUUCCAACUAUAUUUCAACCUCUUUAGUAACCUCCAUUGACAGACUGAACAGGAAAAUAGCUGGCAAAGAAGAAAUGUCGUUUGCAGAGCCCCCCACAGCACAGAACUGGAAUACAAUACUUAAUAACUGUCACCAUGGACUUAACAACCUUGAACCUGAAGGCCAGCGAAUAUCAAAAGGAUUUAUUGGAAGAGGCUAAUGGUGCUAUAAUUUCAGUUUAUACUCUUAUGAAAAGAGGACAUUUUUGAUGCCUUCCUUACAUAUGUAUGAAUCUGAACGACCACCAUAAUAAAGCCUUUCUCAGUCUA